UGAUUUGAGUCUCAUGGAUUGCAUUGUACAUACAUAUAUACAUAGAAAAAAAUUUUGAAAAAUUUGAAAAAACACAAAAAGAAGCAUGUAGUUGCAUCACUUGCACUUUUAGGAUUGAGUCUAUAGCAUAUAGGUUGCAUUCACUUGCAUAGGGAGCAAUGAUUUAAAAUGCCUUGUAAAGAACCCUUGUCUAGAACUCAAAGUGGCACCCUAGUUAAACAUAUCAAGUAGCUUAAGCAUCUCUUGAAAGCUUUGCAUGCUUCGAGCCUUGAAAACUCUUCUUGAAACUUGUUUGCUUGCUUGAUAUUGGCAUUGUUCUUAAAAUCAGCUCCAAACUGAACUUGGCUUGAAUGAACUUAAUCUCUCUUGCAUAUGGGCACUUGCAUACUUGAUCAUGGAUCUCAUACACAUUUGGGUUAUCUUAUUCCAUUAUACCACUUUUUGUUAACCCAAAUGACACUCCAUACCCUACAACCCUAGCCAUUCCUUGAGACCGAACAUUGAUUUGCAUGAGUGAGGCCUCUUUUGAUAGCUUGUCAUGUGCAAAAUCUUGAGAGUAUUGGAGGCGACAUUGAUUUGUUCUCAUCUCUUGCUAGGAUAAUGAGCUAGCAUUUGGGGAUGGUGAGUGGGUUUGUGUAUUCUAAAUGUUAAUAUUUUGGGUUUGGGGAGUGAGAAAGAUGAGCAAAGUGUCAUGGAAAAAAAGGAAAAAUCCUAGGGCCAAAAGGAAAGAAUGAAGCUCUAGAUUGUGUACAAAGGAACCUUCCCCCUUAUAAAAAAAAAAAAAGAAUCAAUGAGAAGGUGGGAAGGGAAAUGAGAAAGAGUUAGAGCUAAGU
This 833-nucleotide long non-coding RNA is filed under the name Brassica napus (rape). RNAcentral's name for it is "long non-coding RNA (BNAP_LNC013019)". The record is from RNAcentral. Lineage: Eukaryota; Viridiplantae; Streptophyta; Magnoliopsida; Brassicales; Brassicaceae.